CUCGCGCAGCAGCAGCAGCAGCAGCAUGGAGGAGCUUUUCCUCUCCGCUCCUCUACAGCGGCUGCACGGUUUCACUGAGGAGAUUCAGGUUUCUACAUAAUGACCUGUGAUUGUGAUGUAAACAGACACUCCUAAAGAUUGGCAAACCACAGCUAUCCAGUGUGGCUCAGCUAAAUCAGACCAACUGACAAAGCAAAGCCAUUGAAGGUAAAUAAAAACGUCUUUCUGUUUGAAUGUGAUCUUUUA
RNAcentral lists this long non-coding RNA (246 nucleotides) under Astyanax mexicanus (Mexican tetra). RNAcentral's name for it is "lncRNA (ENSAMXG00005011658.1)". The record is from RNAcentral. Lineage: Eukaryota; Metazoa; Chordata; Actinopteri; Characiformes; Acestrorhamphidae.